AAGAUUAAGCCAUGCAUGUCUAAGUACGAGCCUUCCUUAGGGUGAAACCGCAAACGGCUCAUUAAAUCAGUCAUAAUUAAUUGGAUGGCGGUUAUCCCCUUACUCGGAUAACUGUGGCAAUUCUAGAGCUAAUACGUGCGAUUGAGCUCCGACCCCGGGGGAGGAACUUUUAAUUUUUUAAUCGCUUUCUCCGCUCGGGGGAAGGGCGCAGUUAUUAGAAUCAUAAACCGAGGCGGACUCCCGAGUCCGCGGAUGCACUUGGUUAUGGUGACUCUGGAUAACGUUGCCAAGCGCUCAGGCCUCUGAGCCGGCGCUGCAUCUUUUCGAGUGACUGCCCUAUCAGCUUUCGAUCGUAGGAUAUAGGCUUACGAUGGCUGUUACGGGUAACGGGGAAUCAGGGUUCGAUUCCGGAGAGGGAGCCUGAGAAACGGCUACCACAUCUAAGGAAGGCAGCAGGCACGCAAAUUACCCAAUCCCAGUUCGGGGAGGUAGUGACGAAAAAUACCGAUGCGGGACUCAUCCGAGGCCUCGCAAUCGGAAUGAGUCUCCUUUAAAAAAGGGAGCGAGGAUCUAUCGGAGGGCAAGUCUGGUGCCAGCAGCCGCGGUAAUUCCAGCUCCUAUAGCGUAUAUUAAAGUUGCUGCGGUUAAAAAGCUCGUAGUUGGAAUUUCGGUCUGUUCCGGAGGCCCACCUAGGACGCGACCGCGCCUCGUUCAUUCGCCCCUUCGCUUCCCGUCGACGAGCCUUCUCGCGAGCGUCCGUUGAUGGUCCGCUAUUCCGCUGCUGCUACUCGCUCGGCGUUAGCUUCGUUCGCGAAGCGCGUCGUUCGUUGGAGUACGUACGCGUUAUACGCGGCUCUUUCAUCGGCCUACUUGAAAAGACGUCCGGGGUUCCAUGGGCGAUCGCGGCGGUGGCGGCGUUUUAGGUUUUCGCGCCCGGUGGUGGAUAAACCUUUCCGGUUACAGACUCGGUAUGUAAAACGAUUCGUUGGCGCAUACGGGGUGCUCUUUACCGAGUGUCUCGCGUGGCCGACGACGAUCACUUUGAACAAAGUAAAGUGCUCAAAGCAGGCAGUAACUUUAACACGCUUGAAUAGAAAUGCAUUGAAUGAUGGAAUAAGACCUCGGUCCCGAUAUUUGUUUUUUAUUUUUUUCUCGGUUUUUCCGGGACCCGAGGUAAUGAUUAACGGAGGCGGACGGGGGCAUUAGUAUUGCGGCGCGAGGGGUGAAAUCCAGUGACCGUCGCAAGACUACCUACUGCGAAAGCAUUUGCCAAGAACGCUUUCAUUAAUCAAGAACGAAAGUUAGAGGAUCGAAGGCGAUCAGAUACCGCCCUAGUUCUAACCAUAAACUAUGCCAACUAGCGAUACGCGUACAGUCAUUCCCAAGACUGCGCGGGAAGCUCCCGGGAAACCAAAGUCUUUGGGUUCCGGGGGUAGUAUGGUUGCAAAGCUGAAACUUAAAGGAAUUGACGGAAGGGCACCACCAGGAGUGGAGCCUGCGGCUUAAUUUGACUCAACACGGGAAACCUCACCAGGCCCGGACACCGGAAGGAUUGACAGAUUGAGAGCUCUUUCUCGAUUCGGUGGUUGGUGGUGCAUGGCCGUUCUUAGUUGGUGGAGCGAUUUGUCUGGUUAAUUCCGAUAACGAACAAGACUCUGUCCUACUAACUAGUCGGCGGAUCGUUUCCCGAGGCGGGGCUUUUACCCGAGGUGGGCGGUCGUCGGGGCGUCGCGGUCGCUUUCCCGGUUCGUUCCGCGUCGGGGUUCCCCUUUUUUUCGGGCGGCGUCGUCGUCGUCGUCUUUUGACGACGGCGGAGGCGUCGUUUCGGGGAGGGGGGCGGCUUCGGCGCGUUAAGGGGCGGAUCGGGGACCCGCGCUCUCGCCGUUCGCUGAGGGGGUCCCAACGAGGGGCGUCCGUCGUGUAAUAUCUUCUUAGAGGGACCGGCGGUCUUGAACCGUACGAGAAGGAGCAAUAACAGGUCUGUGAUGCCCUUAGAUGUCCUGGGCCGCACGCGUGCUACAAUGGAGGGAGCAGCGUGCUUUCCCCCUCCGAGAGGAGUGGGUAACCCGAUGAAACCCCUUCCCGAUUGGGAUUGGGGGUUGCAAUGGUUACCCAUGAACGAGGAAUCCCUUGUAAGCGCGAGUCAUGAGCCCGCGAUGAAUACGUCCCUGCCCUUUGUACACACCGCCCGUCGCUACUACCGAUGAAUGAUUAAGUGAGAGCGUUGGACCGGCGCCCUAGGGCAGCCCUCGGUUCGCUACGCGGCGCUCGACCGACGUUUUAGCUUUCGUUAGCUCUUCGUUUCGUCGUGCGUCGUCGACCGAGUCAGCGCCCCCCGGGCUUCGCCGGAAAGACGUCCGAACUUGAUUAUUUAGAGGAAGUAAAAGUCGUAAACAAGGUAUCUGUAGGUGAACCUGCGGAAAGAAUCAA
Molecule: ribosomal RNA, 2430 nt
Filed under: Sphaeromopsis serriguberna
Lineage: Eukaryota; Metazoa; Arthropoda; Malacostraca; Isopoda; Sphaeromatidae
Description: partial 18S ribosomal RNA
Rfam family: Eukaryotic small subunit ribosomal RNA
Source: RNAcentral